GACGAACGCUGGCGGCGUGCCUAAUACAUGCAAGUUGAGCGAUGAAGAUUGGUGCUUGCCCCAAUUUGAAGAGCAGCGAACGGGUGAGUAACGCGUGGGGAAUCUGCCUUUGAGCGGGGGACAACAUUUGGAAACGAAUGCUAAUACCGCAUAACAACUUUAAACAUAAGUUUUAAGUUUGAAAGAUGCAAUUGCAUCACUCAAAGAUGAUCCCGCGUUGUAUUAGCUAGUUGGUGAGGUAAAGGCUCACCAGGGCGAUGAUACAUAGCUGACCUGAGAGGGUGAUCGGCCACAGUGGGACUGAGACACGGCCCAAACUCCUACGGGAGGCAGCAGUAGGGAAUCUUCGGCAAUGGACGAAAGUCUGACCGAGCAACGCCGCGUGAGUGAAGAAGGUUGUCGGAUCGUAAAACUCUGUUGGUAGAGAAGAACGUUGGUGAGAGUGGAAAGCUCAUCAAGUGACGGUAACUACCCAGAAAGGGACGGCUAACUACGUG
Molecule: ribosomal RNA, 497 nt
Filed under: uncultured bacterium
Lineage: Bacteria
Description: partial 16S ribosomal RNA
Rfam family: Bacterial small subunit ribosomal RNA
Source: RNAcentral